Molecule: long non-coding RNA, 286 nt
Filed under: Carica papaya (papaya)
Lineage: Eukaryota; Viridiplantae; Streptophyta; Magnoliopsida; Brassicales; Caricaceae
Description: long non-coding RNA (CPAP_LNC012295)
Source: RNAcentral
UUUAAACUAAACCCCUUUCACAAUUUUUUAGUAAUCCCCUCUGGUCAAUUCUCUUGGCUCAUGGAUGUGUUUUUCUUUCUCUAUGUUCGUGCAUUGUUUUAGUUUUUGUAUAUCUUGUGACGUACUUAGUGGAAUCAUAAUAUAUAGGUGUACUAAUCGAAAUGGGUGUCCCCGAAUGAAUUAUUUAAAUGAGUAUAAUUGCAUACUAAUGAGUUUGAUAUGUUUAAGAAAACGAUAUAAAUGACCGAUAUAAACAAUCUAUCUACAUUUUGAUGCAUGUCACCAC